RNAcentral lists this transfer-messenger RNA (383 nucleotides) under Bacilli. RNAcentral describes it as "UBA3789 sp017964405 Standard tmRNA". It matches the Rfam family "transfer-messenger RNA". From Rfam's summary of the family: Bacterial tmRNA, also known as 10Sa RNA or SsrA, is named for its dual tRNA and mRNA-like properties. RNAcentral also lists the same sequence under 1 other name. Lineage: Bacteria; Bacillati; Bacillota. The record is from RNAcentral.
GGGGAUGACUUGGUUUCGACGGGAAUAAGAGAGCAUAGAUGGCAAGUCGGAAUGUCCACGUCACGGGCGAAAAAAAAUAAAUGCAAAUAAAAUUAAAAAUGCUAUAGUAACAUUGUUUGGCGCAAACCAAGCUGUUGCUUUUGCCUAAUAGAAUAAAUAAGGCUAGCUCUUCUUAAGGGUUCUCACCUAGGAGCCCUUUCGAGGAUCAUUUUGAUAGGUUAUAGCUAUCCUACGUCUAUAGGAUAGAAAGAAUUUUAAGACUAGUAUAGUAACUUGGUCGUUAACUACUUGGUUAUUAUGCGAAAUUAAUUAGUUAACUAAGCUUGUAGAGGUUUAUGUAGCUCUAUUUUCGGACAGGAGUUCGAUUCUCCUCAUCUCCACCA